Long non-coding RNA from Meriones unguiculatus (Mongolian gerbil), 3569 nucleotides. RefSeq lists it as uncharacterized. The transcript has 8 exons. NCBI's taxonomy places the organism in Eukaryota, Metazoa, Chordata, Mammalia, Rodentia, Muridae. The record is from RefSeq and is a predicted model, not a curated record.
GCAGAAAGGUGUGUCUCUUCUGCUAAAGCAAGUAUCUGGCAGGAAGAGCCUGACCAGGAGGCACCGGGCGGUCACUGGAGAUCAGCAGAUGCCUUCACGAUAAGUGAGGACUGAUUCACUUAAGGGCUGCCUGUUAGGAAUUUUGAAGGACCCUCCCCGGUGCAGAAGAGGGAGGGCAGAGGAGGCUAAUCUGUAGGAAAGGAUACCGCUUAACACAGAAAGGCAAAUUAACCUUGAAAAAUCAUAUCGUUGGGAUACUUUCCCUUGAAGAUGUCAGUGGAAAAAGAAAAGCAGGAGGCUGCCCGCCCAGCCACCCCUAAAAUGCCUGAAAAUUAACUGGAUGGUGUGAAAUGCAGGAACAAGGGAGCUGGCAGUGUGUACGGGACUAGUGUUGGAAGGAAAGAAUAAACAGCUUUCACACGUUUCUAAUUGAAUUAGAACUGUUCUGAGCCCACAGAAGAGAGGUUAACCAAGUUGGACAGAGUUCAGAACACAGGACACUGAAGAGGAAGAAGGUAUGAAGAUGCUCCUUUUGGAAACCUUCGGAUCAUCACUCAUCAAGUGUUCAGCUGAGAACUAAUCCCUACAUACAUGUGAAGAAACCAUUAUUCACUGCUAGGACUAAUGAAAAUCUCAGCAAACAAGACAGCAAGUUCAACCAGGCAAGAGAACAACGUUGGCUUUAACUGAUAUACGAAACUUUGAUGCUCAGGUGUCAUUCUCCUCCUGCCUGGGGCUGUCUCCCACCAUCCCAUGAAGUCAAGAGGAGCACAAGAUGAGAAGCAUACCUGGAAUGGCCUGUGAACCUUGUACAGGAAUCACACACCCUGGGAACCACUGCAGGGAGCUAGUUCCACUUUGAAUCCAGAGAACAAAGGCCCCUUGGGAAGUAAGUGGGGCCUCCAAUGGUAGGUGUACAUAAUUGGUUGAAAUAGGCAUUUCAAGGAUGCUUGAUUUGCAUUACACAGCAUACUGUUAUCAUAUGAACGGAAACACAGUACCUAAUUAUCCUAUAGGCACAGGGAGGGGAGAGCUGGCGGGGAGCUGCGUCAAAGGCCGCCUAGCAGACGUGGUUAGUCUAAAGACACUCUCCAGAUGAAGUCACCCAGAGAGUAGGAGGUUCUGCUGGGGAGACGGAGCCCUGCACCUUAAGGCAGCCACGCUCACAAUGGCUGGGAGAACUGCCACCUCAAAUGGCAGGCUGCCUCCAACACACAGCUAUCCUGUUAACUUUGUUUCUGAGCAUUCUGGGUCAGUAUAUCCAGAAAGAUUUCAAUCAGUGGACAGAGGAAAGAAGUCCCUUAUCAGUGUGGGUGGGCAACGCUUCCUCAGUUGGAGCUGGACUGUCCAUCUUCUCUCGGAAAAUCUGUGCUCCUAGCACCCAGGCCUUGGGGCUUGGGCUGGCUUUUCUGGUUCCCUAGCCUGCCAGCAGCAGAUGUGGGGUUUCACGACCUCUGUAAUCAAUUGGGACAAUUACCAUAAUAAAUCUCUCUUUUCUCUUUUCUUUCUCUUUGCCUGCCUCACCCCCUACCUACUGCCCCCUUGCACCCACAAGCAUGUCCUGCAUAACAAUUCAGUCAUCCAGUGCUGACCCCCUGGUGUUAAAGCAGAUAAUGUGGAGCUGAAAAAUUCCUGUCAUCCAGUGACCUUGCCGCCGUCAUAUCACAUGUGUUAGUGGUGGCACUGAUAAAAAGCCAACCUCUAGGUUAUAUCCAUACAUAGUCCUUGGUGGAGUAUUAGUCUCAUGAAAGACCCCUGUGCUCAGAUAUAUUUGGUCCUUGUGGAGCUCCUAUCCUCUCCACGUCAUAUUAACUCAGAGACUGAAGCACCAACCAAGGACCAUGCAUGGACUGAACCUAGGCUCCCUACACAGAUGCAGCCAAUGACCAGCUCAUGCUUCAUGGCUGCUGGCCAGGACACAGGGGAAGAGGACAUACUCAGUCCUGAUGUGAUUUGAUUGACAUGUGACUGUUUAUUUAUGCAACUGGUUCGUGAAUGACUUUGCAGAGCAGCAGGCUAAGGAUGUGAUACCUAUAUGGACAAAAUUUCACAUGUAGGGGCUAGAGAGAAGGUUCAGCCAAGCUAGCAUGAAGAUCUGACCCAUGAAGAUCUCCAGGACCCAUGGACAGCAGUUCUGGGGAGGCCUAGUCAGGAGGAUCCCAAAGGCUUGCAGUCCAGCUUGCCUAGCCAACUGACAACCCUUGAUUAGAUUAAAAAAAAAAAUUAUGUGGAAGGGCCAGGCCAGUGGUACAUACUUUUGCACCAGCACUCAAGAGGCAGAGGCUGGUGAAUCUCUGUGAGUUCAAAGCCAGCCUGAUGCACCUAGCAAGUUUCAGGCCAGCCAAGGCUAUGUAAGACCCUGUCUUAAAAAACUUCCAAGAAUGAAUUAAUUAUAACAUGGAGAACCACCUGACACUGACCCCUCGCCUCCUCUUGCAUGGGCACACAUAAUGAGAGACACUGGUACACUCCACACACAGCUUUGACUCACCCAAAAACUGAACUGCUGACAGACUGCUGUCAAGCAAAGCCUUCCAGUAAUAUUAACAGCCAAGCAAUUAUUAUGUUAUAUGCAUUAAAUAUGGUGGACAUACAAUAGACUUGGGGACUGCGAGAAGUGAGAUCACUGUUUCCUAUGAGAGUGACUUACUGGAAAGAUAAUCUGAUCACAAGGAGAUAGUUAAUGUCAUCCUGGACUUUAUGGCGACUGGCAACUCUUGAGUUCACCAAAAGAACGGGAACUCACUAGAUAGGAAGUCAUUAAGACACUCCAGCGUGCACUGAGGUUACCAUUUAAUUCUCUGUCUUUACACUUACUUGUAUUUUUCCCAACUGCUAUUGGUGCCGUGUAUGUUGUUUGUAUAUAAAGUUUAAUAAAGUUUAUAUGAGUUUUUGUAUUUUUACCAUGUUUGCAGUUUUUAUUCAAAGACAAUAAGAAACCUGUAAAACGGCAAAUGAUAUUUUGAUUUUGUGGCGUCAGUAUUUAUAGUUGACAUUUACAAUACUAUAUACCAUGGGCGAUUGACAGUUCAGUCUCCAUGUGGAUCUCUGAGUGAGAGGAUCAGGGGCUGCCUCUAUCAUGAACUCAGUUGACUGUUCUUUGAUCACUCGCUCCUGGUGAUGCAACUUUGCCAGGCCGCAGAGGAAGAGGAUCCAGGCAGUCCUGAUGAGACUUAACAAGCUGUGGGCAGAUGGCAAUAGUGGAGAACCCUCCUUUCAGUGGACUAGGGGAAGAGGAUGGUGAAGAGGGAGGGAGGGGGCUUCAAUUGGGAUAUAUAAUGAAUAAAUUGUGAAACAAUAAAAUAACAAUUAAAAGAAAAAAGAAAGUAAGGAAAAUAGGAACUUUUGCAACUUGUUGAAAUUUUGUUUUGUUUGUUUCAUGAAUAAAUAAGUACAUGUCUUUAUGUUUUCCAAAAACCUGGGAUUUUUCUUCAUUACUUUAUUCAAUGAAUACACAUUUUUGAAGGAUAUAAAGUUAGCUGAUGCCUAUAGCUUUUCUGCAUUUAUGGUCUCUUGAAUGUGCAUUCAAAAAAGGAUGUAGCAAAGGUUACAUUUCCCAGGAUGUUUCA